This 485-nucleotide ribosomal RNA is filed under the name uncultured bacterium. Its description in RNAcentral is "partial 16S ribosomal RNA". It matches the Rfam family "Bacterial small subunit ribosomal RNA", at positions 28 to 523 of the family's 1533-position model. The record is from RNAcentral.
GACGAACGCUGGCGGCGUGCUUAACACAUGCAAGUCGAACGGUGAAAGCGGAGCUUGCUCCGCUGGAUCAGUGGCGAACGGGUGAGUAACACGUGGGCAACCUGCCCCUCACUUCGGGAUAACCCCGGGAAACCGGGGCUAAUACCGGAUAUGACCUCCUUGGGCAUCCUUGGAGGUGGAAAGUUUUUCGGUGAGGGAUGGGCCCGCGGCCUAUCAGCUUGUUGGUGAGGUAGUGGCUCACCAAGGCGACGACGGGUAGCCGGCCUGAGAGGGCGCCCGGCCACACCGGGACUGAGACACGGCCCAGACUCCUACGGGAGGCAGCAGUGGGGAAUAUUGCGCAAUGGGCGAAAGCCUGACGCAGCAACGCCGCGUGCGGGAUGACGGCCUUCGGGUUGUAAACCGCUUUCAGCAGGGAAGAAGCCGCAAGGUGACGGUACCCGCAGAAGAAGCACCGGCUAACUACGUGCCAGCCGCCGCCGUAA